UUGGUGGGGUCAUGGCCCACCAAGGCGACGACGGGUAGCCGGCCUGAGAGGGCGACCGGCCACACUGGGACUGAGACACGGCCCAGACUCCUACGGGAGGCAGCAGUGGGGAAUAUUGCGCAAUGGGCGAAGGCCUGACGCAGCGACGCCGCGUGAGGGAUGAAGGCCUUCGGGUUGUAAACCUCUUUCAGCAGGGACGAAGCGAAAGUGACGGUACCUGCAGAAGAAGCACCGGCCAACUACGUGCCAGCAGCCGCGGUAAUACGUAGGGUGCAAGCGUUGUCCGGAAUUAUUGGGCGUAAAGAGCUCGUAGGCGGUUUGUCGCGUCGGCUGUGAAAACUCGGGGCUCAACCCCGAGCCUGCAGUCGAUACGGGCAAACUAGAGUGUGGUAGGGGAGACUGGAAUUCCUGGUGUAGCGGUGAAAUGCGCAGAUAUCAGGAGGAACACCGGUGGCGAAGGCGGGUCUCUGGGCCAUAACUGACGCUGAGGAGCGAAAGCGUGGGGAGCGAACAGGAUUAGAUACCCUGGUAGUCCACGCCGUAAACGUUGGGCGCUAGGUGUCGGGGACCUUCCACGUCUUCGGUGCCGCAGCUAACGCAUUAAGCGCCCCGCCUGGGGAGUACGGC
This 627-nucleotide ribosomal RNA is filed under the name uncultured bacterium. Its description in RNAcentral is "bacterial SSU rRNA". It matches the Rfam family "Bacterial small subunit ribosomal RNA", at positions 249 to 886 of the family's 1533-position model. The record is from RNAcentral.